Molecule: ribosomal RNA, 507 nt
Filed under: uncultured bacterium
Lineage: Bacteria
Description: bacterial SSU rRNA
Rfam family: Bacterial small subunit ribosomal RNA
Source: RNAcentral
CCUGGCUCAGGAUGAACGCUAGCGGCAGGCUUAACACGUGCAAGUCGAGGGGCAUCGGGAGUAGCAAUACUUGCCGGCGACCGGCGCAAGGGUGCGUAACGCGUGAGCAACAUGCCCGUAUCAGGGGGAUAAUCCAUGGAAACGUGGUCUAAUACCCCAUAGUAAUUAUGUAAGGCAUCUUAUAUAAUUUAAAGCUUUGGUGGAUACGGAUUGGCUCGCGUGACAUUAGCUAGAUGGUAAGGUAACGGCUUACCAUGGCUACGAUGUCUAGGGGUUCUGAGAGGAAGGUCCCCCCACACUGGAACUGAGACACGGUCCAGACUCCUACGGGAGGCAGCAGUGAGGAAUAUUGGACAAUGGAUGGAAAUCUGAUCCAGCCAUGCCGCGUGCAGGAAAGACGGCCCUAUGGGUUGUAAACUGCUUUUGUAUGGGAGCAAUAAGGGCUACGCGUAGUCCGAUGAGAGUACCAUACGAAUAAGCACCGGCUAACUCCGUGCCAGCAGCCGC